Molecule: ribosomal RNA, 502 nt
Filed under: uncultured bacterium
Lineage: Bacteria
Description: bacterial SSU rRNA
Rfam family: Bacterial small subunit ribosomal RNA
Source: RNAcentral
AGCGAACGCUGGCGGCGCGCCUAAUACAUGCAAGUCGAGCGAGAAGACGUAGCAAUACGUUUGUAAAGCGGCGAACGGGUGAGGAAUACAUGGGUAACCUACCCUCGAGUGGGGAAUAACUAGCCGAAAGGUUAGCUAAUACCGCGUACGCUCCUUGGACUUCGGUUCAGGGAGGAAAGCGAUACCGUGGGUAUCGCGCUCUUGGAUGGGCUCAUGUCCUAUCAGCUUGUUGGUGAGGUAACGGCUCACCAAGGCUUCGACGGGUAGCUGGUCUGAGAGGACGAUCAGCCACACUGGCACUGCGACACGGGCCAGACUCCUACGGGAGGCAGCAGUAAGGAAUAUUGCGCAAUGGGCGAAAGCCUGACGCAGCGACGCCGCGUGGGGGAUGAAGGUCUUCGGAUUGUAAACCCCUUUCGGGAGGGAAGAUGGAACGAGCAAUCGUUCGGACGGUACCUCCAGAAGCAGCCACGGCUAACUUCGUGCCAGCAGCCGCCGCAGU